This 273-nucleotide long non-coding RNA is filed under the name Manihot esculenta (cassava). RNAcentral's name for it is "long non-coding RNA (MESC_LNC001073)". The record is from RNAcentral. Lineage: Eukaryota; Viridiplantae; Streptophyta; Magnoliopsida; Malpighiales; Euphorbiaceae.
CUCUCCUUAUGAUUAAACCAAUUAGGGAACGUCCUCUAAUUAAUUACUAAUUAACAAAUUGCCAAGGAACGUCCUUGGGCCUUAGGCAUCAAAACAAUUGUCAAUUGCAUUAAGAAAUAGAGAGAUCCAAUCCUAGCUACCCAAACGUAUGGAGAUAACGCUAGAUCAUGCAAUUUCCUUGGGUUUUAUCCCAAGUGUUCUCAUGUAAGAAUAACUCAAGCAAUUACGGACUUAAAUUAUUCAAACUAACAAAUAAUUAUUUUGCAAUAAAAA